RNAcentral lists this transfer RNA (73 nucleotides) under Herpetosiphon geysericola. It matches the Rfam family "tRNA". From Rfam's summary of the family: Transfer RNA (tRNA) molecules are approximately 80 nucleotides in length. The record is from Rfam by way of RNAcentral. Lineage: Bacteria; Bacillati; Chloroflexota; Chloroflexia; Herpetosiphonales; Herpetosiphonaceae.
GGGUGAUUAGCUCAGUUGGUAGAGCGUCUCGUUUACACCGAGUAGGUCGGGGGUUCGAGUCCCUCAUCACCCA